GGGAAAGACAGCCUUCACUAUAGAUUGAAGGGACUCCAUCUUGAAUCUGCGGAUAUGCAAGUAUCGAUUCAGUCUGUGUAAAUUUAGGAUGGGUCUCCACCCUCCCGAGGACUUUUUGGUCAGAAAUAAAUGUGAAUAGAAGCCGUGAGUCCUUUCUGACUCUGGGACUGGUACAAUGACUCCCUCUUCUUGUAGAAAAGAAAUGAAGACAUGAAGAGCAAGCCUUUUUACUUUGUCUCCCGGCCAACUUGUGACUUGGAAGGAACUGGAAGGAGGGUGUGUGCAAAAUACUAGAAGAUAUCCCCUUCUGAUGAUAGCCAGAACCCAGUUGUCGCUACGGAUCCCUCCCAUGCCACAUGGAAUUUGAGCGAGUGUGCUCCAACACCGCCUGAGAGGGAGAUGAGCUCGUCACAGAUUCCUGGGGUUCUUGGAGGGUGCGUAACCUCGGGACUUGCCGUCUCUAGCACCAUGUGGACCGCUCCUCCAGGAUUGAUUUCUCCCAUCAAGCACAAGCUGCCUUUGGAGGAAGCAUCAGCAGAUCAUGAUCUGAGUCAUAGCGCUCUCCUGGCCGAAACUGAGAGAGCCAUAUUUCUGGCUAAGGACCUCACCAGAUCUACCGCAGCCUCAGAUGAGAAGUCAACAGCCAAUCUCAAAUCUUUUAGGCUGUCCAGUAUGGAGGGAUGGCUCCUGCCGUUCUUAAUAUUCU
Non-coding RNA from Pelobates cultripes (western spadefoot toad), 706 nucleotides. The record is from the annotation of a GenBank genome assembly. Lineage: Eukaryota; Metazoa; Chordata; Amphibia; Anura; Pelobatidae.